CACCAGCGCCACGAGUGGCAACCACGAUUAUUGGGCCUAAAGCGUCCGUAGCCUGCUUAAUAGGUCUUUUGUGAAAUCGUUGUACUUAAUAUAACGACGUGCAAGAGAUACCAUUGAGCUUGGAACCGGAGAGGAGUCAGAGGUAUUCUAGGGGGAGCGGUAAAAUGCUAUAAUCCCUAGCAGACCACCUGUGGCGAAAGCGUCUGACUAGAACGGCUUCGACGGUGAGGGACGAAAGCCAGGGGAGCAAAUCGGAUUAGAUACCCGCGUA
RNAcentral lists this ribosomal RNA (271 nucleotides) under uncultured prokaryote. RNAcentral describes it as "partial 16S ribosomal RNA". It matches the Rfam family "Archaeal small subunit ribosomal RNA", at positions 474 to 743 of the family's 1478-position model. The record is from RNAcentral.